AGAUCAAUAAAAAUUAUCACUAAGCAUCCUCCCUCCCUGGGCUUCGGGUUCCAGAAAACAACCCUUGUCCCCCAGCCCCAACUACCUAUCUGUGAAUAUACAGCAAGUGCCCCCUUGGCCUAAUUAACUAACCUCUCUGAGCCCCUGUUCUUUCUUUCCUCCAAUUAUAAAGGCCAUAAAUGCUCAUUACAGAAAAAUUGAAAACUACAGGAAAAUAGAAGGAAGAAAAGGUCACCUGCCUUAUUUAACACACAUAUUUUCUCUAUAAGGUACAUCGCAGCCUUACUAUCUGAGCGUCAUCACUGUUAACACUUUCGAGUUUUCCUUCUGGCCUUCGUUCCAUGCCUACACUUUUUCACAUAUGUAAGGAAAGACCACCUUCUUCCCAGCAAGAAACAGUAUUGGUCAUCUUGGGAGCUUCUGCUGCUGGUGGCCUAGAGAGCCAGAUGAAGGAGUAGAGAAAUGGCAGCUGACUGCAGGAUGGUACAAGAAGGGGAGGAGAGGAGAGAUACAUCCAGAAGCUGGAAACUAGUUCAGCCCUUUGAUGUCAUCCUCUAAGGAGACAGAGCAGAAUGGAGAAAACAGUUGUCUGGAACUGAGCCCAAAAUUAUCUCAGAGGUAUGCCUAUAUAAACAUGGGGCUUAGAGAAAUGCUUCUCUAGCCAGUUUUUCC
This is a long non-coding RNA of Homo sapiens (human), 672 nucleotides long. RefSeq lists it as uncharacterized. Lineage: Eukaryota; Metazoa; Chordata; Mammalia; Primates; Hominidae. The transcript has 3 exons. The record is from RefSeq and is a predicted model, not a curated record.